UUUACUUCUUUUAGGAGUCUAAAAGUAAGGAAAAAUAACUUCCGCUCAUUAUUUACAUAAGUUAAAUAAAACAUUUUGUGUCUAGUUAUCAGUAAUUUAUUUAUAAGUAAUUCUUUACUGUAAAAUAGUAAAAUAAUAAAUGAGUGAAUAAUGAAGAUAUAAUAAAUACUCUGUGUGUCCGUGAGUUUAAACCUGGUCACUGUUUCAUAUCUGAAGUUUAGUGUAAAUUGUUCUAAAGUCUCUGUGCUGAUGUAAAAUACAGACGAAUGCUGCUGUGUGUUUGUGUUAAACAAUGAACAUUUGUGUAAUCAGAUCCAUUUACUACUAUCACACAGGGAGCACUUUAUAUUACACAUCAGUAAGAAGUGUUUAACACAGAAUAAAGCUGAUCAAAGUCUGAGUCGCUCCACAAUAUAACCAGUAACUAGUAAAUCUUCUCCUGCUGAGUAGUUCUACUGAACUGCAGUCAUGUGAAUAAGCAGUAAUGAGUAAAUGUUGUGUAAGUGUGUGUAAAUGUGUGUUUAUUGUGUGUUUGUCUUCUCCAGCCGGUCCCACGGUGAAGCCCUCCGUGUCUCUGCUCCCUCCCUCCUCUCUGCAGCUGUCUGAGGGAUCCGCCUCACUGCUCUGCCUGCUGUCUGCCUACUCUCCACAGGGGGCGCUGGUGAGCUGGAGAGUGGACGGCUCAGAGGUGAAGGACCAGGUUCUGACCAGCGCAGAAGAACAGAAGAAGGACGGUUACACACGCAGCAGCACCCUGACCCUCAGCAAAGCAGUCUGGGAAAAGGGGGAGGAGUUUGUCUGUACAGUCUCCCAUGCUGGUGUCAAUCAUCCGGUCACGUUCAGAAAGAGCCAGUGUGAAGACUAACAGCUCCAAGAUAGAAUUUAACACUGAGCUGCUUACACAUCCAACUAAAAUAGAGUUUCAGUUCUACACAAUGCUGACAUUUCUGUCUUUACUCUCUUCACUGUCCUGUUGCUCUUCCUGUAGUUUUGCUCUGCUGAAAUAAAGCUUCAUUUUGGA
This is a non-coding RNA of Clarias gariepinus (North African catfish), 1021 nucleotides long. NCBI's taxonomy places the organism in Eukaryota, Metazoa, Chordata, Actinopteri, Siluriformes, Clariidae. The record is from the annotation of a RefSeq genome assembly.